UCUGGGGUCUGAAUGCCGCGCCCUCUGGAGAGCCACAGAUGGGUCUCCGCUGAUGCUUCUCUCAAUUUCCUCUAAGAGCGAGAGCUCCGGGAAAGGAGCCGAUCCUGGUGGAAGACUACAGGUCUGAGUCCACUGGACGAAAAACGAGGAGGAUUCAGGCAGUGCUGUCCUUACAUCGCAAUCAUUCAGGUUUUGGUGAGACAUAAACUAUGAAACAAACAGAAAGAUGGAACAUGAGAAAGGGUCAAGGGUGGCCUUGGUUAGGGAUGGCAGCUUUUACUCCUUGGAUUAGAGACCAUCCUGAGGACAUCCUUGGGAGCCAUGUGCUGAAGAUGGCCAAGCCACAGGAUGAAAGGAGCUGCAUC
This 365-nucleotide long non-coding RNA is filed under the name Homo sapiens (human). RNAcentral's name for it is "HSALNT0102821". Lineage: Eukaryota; Metazoa; Chordata; Mammalia; Primates; Hominidae. The record is from RNAcentral.